Dermacentor andersoni is the source of this 173-nucleotide long non-coding RNA. RefSeq lists it as uncharacterized. NCBI's taxonomy places the organism in Eukaryota, Metazoa, Arthropoda, Arachnida, Ixodida, Ixodidae. The record is from RefSeq and is a predicted model, not a curated record.
AGGACGUGCAUUUCUCAGCACCCAGUCAACUGCCAGAAGUGACUCAAACACAGGCCACCAGUGGAACUCGGCUGUACCACUGCAGUGCUGCGGAAAUUGCCAGCACCAGCGGCUUUGCAACAGCUGUUUCGCAGCAUGUCGGAGACAAUGCCUACGAAACUAUUGGCCCUGAU